CCCUCUCUCUCUCUUCCUCGGUUCGGGUGCUCUAGUGUUUCCAAUAAGUGGACUUUCUUGCAAGUGCCAACAGCUAGUGCUCACACUAGAGCACCUCUACUUCCUUGCCUACUAUCAAGUCAAUCUGGUGUUCAUCCGAGAGCCAGCGUCAACACCUCGUAUAAUGUCAGAUCCCUCCCUACCAAGUAGUGGGGUGUCACAUGUUCAAAGAUGCAGAACCAAGAAUUCAUCUUCCUAACUGACUCAGCAUCCUAAGAUUGAAGAUAGCCGUCAAAAAAAUCCACUAACAUGCGGUCUUGGAGCAAAUGAAGAGAACACUAGCAUGUCUCUUCGACCAUGGCCUAGAAGAGAUGCUAAAUUUUUGGUGCACUUCUGCAUUGCCUAUGAGCUAGCAGUAAGCUUUUCUAGAUGGGAAGGAGGCAAGGAGGGAAUGCAUGUAGAGAGGU
This 446-nucleotide long non-coding RNA is filed under the name Elaeis guineensis (African oil palm). RNAcentral's name for it is "long non-coding RNA (EGUI_LNC008944)". The record is from RNAcentral. Lineage: Eukaryota; Viridiplantae; Streptophyta; Magnoliopsida; Arecales; Arecaceae.